This 112-nucleotide long non-coding RNA is filed under the name Cebus imitator (Panamanian white-faced capuchin). RNAcentral's name for it is "TTC28 antisense RNA 1 conserved region 4 (ENSCCAG00000003987.1)". It matches the Rfam family "TTC28 antisense RNA 1 conserved region 4". Lineage: Eukaryota; Metazoa; Chordata; Mammalia; Primates; Cebidae. The record is from RNAcentral.
UGUGCUCACUUGACCUGUCUGAUGUGCAGCCGUGGGCAGCUGGCUGAGGGUGGCAGGGCACUUGGCUAACCCAAAGUGACACAUGCCUGGCGGGACGUUCAGUCUUUGUAAA